RNAcentral lists this long non-coding RNA (521 nucleotides) under Equus caballus (horse). RNAcentral describes it as "lncRNA (ENSECAG00000029255.3)". Lineage: Eukaryota; Metazoa; Chordata; Mammalia; Perissodactyla; Equidae. The record is from RNAcentral.
CUGAACUACAAUUUUGGCUUCAGCUCUGCUUGGCCCCUUCUCUACCCGGCAGCUCUCAUUGGACUCAGGAACGUAGAGUCCUCCAGACUCUACGUACAUGUAGCUGAUGUAAAUUCACCUGAGGAGUUCCUGGGGGAGACUGCAAGGAGAUGUCAGAGGGACCCAGGUACCUAGGCCUUUGUGCUGUGAAUCAGCGGACGCGCAAGUGGCAGUGCCUGUUAGAAGCAACGCAACCUCGUGGCUCCUGCAAGUGUGGAGACACCUCCCACACAAGGCGGGGCAAGCAGGACAAGCGCAGUUUGCUGUGGUCUUGUGACAGAGAGCACAAAAGGGAUCAUGUAACGGGAUACAAGGCUGGGAAAGUGCAUUGGAGAAAAGGAAGUGAUAAAGCACCGUGAGCACAAGGAAGAAGGAAUGGUUAAUUUUGACUGUGGAUGAAGAGAGAGGCUUCACGGGAGAGGCAGCAUUUAGGUGAGUCUUGAAGAAUGAUAAGAUUUUGAUGGCGUGAAAGAGAGAACAGG